CAGGUUGCUGGCUUCGGUAAACAGCCUCACUAGAAAGGUCACCCCUGAGCUGAGGGAUUUUUCUUGUCUCUCACCGCAGGUUUCUGGACAGAGGGGUCUGGUUUACCGAGAACUUGCUCCACUAACAAUGCGGAGCCCUGAGCUGCGGGUGUCAUAGAGCAAGCAUGGAGAGAGGCAAGGCUUCAUCAGCUUCACGCUUGCCAAAGCUCCUGUCUACGGAACUUAAAGGGUUCGAAAACAUGGGAGGUGAAAUGUCACUCAAGUGAAUUAAGAGAGUUCAACUAUCCCAGACCAGCGUGAGUGACUGAACUGGAGGCCAUGGCAGCUGCAGAGAUCACAGGAAACCCGAUUCCCAGCUCCUUCCGAUGAUGUUUUUUUCCUUCAUCUUUACUGUUGUACCAUUGUCUUCCCUCUGGAUGUGCUUCCCGCUUCCUCUAACACAGGCUGCCAGCCACAUGUUGGUUUCUCUUCUGUCUGAUGAGAACAAUGGGAUUGUGUUUGAGCACAUCCGGGUAAUCUAAGAUAAUGUUCGUAACUUUGGAGCCAACAAUGUAUCACACCUGCCUCCCUGUUAUUUAUGUCCAUAGCUAUAGGUUUCAGAGUUCAGGGUCCAAUAAAUUUAGGAGACACUUUUUA
Rattus norvegicus (Norway rat) is the source of this 636-nucleotide non-coding RNA. Lineage: Eukaryota; Metazoa; Chordata; Mammalia; Rodentia; Muridae. The record is from RefSeq and is a predicted model, not a curated record.